CCCCACGCAUUGCUUUUCAGUUUUGUUUCCUUUUGUUUUCUGCCCUAGCAUUCACCCUUUCUCUAACUGCGUCGCCUCUCGCUUUCUCUCCAAUGUCUCCAUCUCUCUUUCCAAUCUUUCCCCACCUGUUAAUCGCCACUGCCCAUUGUCACCGCUUGUCAUCGCCACAAGCAAAAGCCUAAUUCAAUUUCAAAAUGAUCAAUCUGAAGCCGCCAAAAUGAUCGAGCGUCCUUGGCAUCGUCAUUGCCGCCUAUGAUAUGUCAGGUUGUUUAUUUUGUGGGAAAAUGUUUGGUGGCCACAAAUUUUGUGGUUCAAAUAACCCGAAAUUGUCAAAACGAUGUCGUUUUGCACUCAAAACGACGUCGUUUUGAGUGUUUUAAGCCAUUUGAGCCACAGAAUUUGUGACCUCCUAACAUUGCUGUUUGUGAUGUCACUACCUCUCUAGUUGUUAAUCUCGGCUUUGGCUUUUGACUUUGUUCUGUGGAAGCAUAUUGUUGUACCAUCAUCAUAAACUAGUGGUAAAAUUAUCAUUCUUGUCACCAUCAUCAGCUUAUAGCUUCACAAAACCUAACGAAGUGUUUGGGUUUUGAUGUAUAUAUUUGUACCUGCAAUGUAUGUAUUUAUUCAAGUAUCUUAAAUUGUUUGUUUUGGAAUUAUGGGUUAUAUUGUACUUCUCUUUGUUUGGGUAUCUAACAAGGUCUAGGAAUAUCCACAGUGGCUGCUCCUUUAUUUUGA
This is a non-coding RNA of Camellia sinensis, 735 nucleotides long. The record is from RefSeq and is a predicted model, not a curated record. Lineage: Eukaryota; Viridiplantae; Streptophyta; Magnoliopsida; Ericales; Theaceae.